This 253-nucleotide ribosomal RNA is filed under the name uncultured bacterium. RNAcentral describes it as "partial 16S ribosomal RNA". It matches the Rfam family "Bacterial small subunit ribosomal RNA", at positions 524 to 776 of the family's 1533-position model. The record is from RNAcentral.
UACGUAGGGUGCGAGCGUUACUCGGAAUUACUGGGCGUAAAGCGUGCGUAGGUGGUUUGUUAAGUCUGCUGUGAAAGCCCCGGGCUCAACCUGGGAAUGGCAGUGGAUACUGGCAAGCUAGAGUGCGGUAGAGGGUAGUGGAAUUCCCGGUGUAGCGGUGAAAUGCGUAGAGAUCGGGAGGAACACCAGUGGCGAAGGCGGCUACCUGGACCAGCACUGACACUGAGGCACGAAAGCGUGGGGAGCAAACAGG